AUGUGUCCAAACAAGAAGAGAGUAAGCUGUAGGAAACGGCACAUCGGAGCUGAAGAGGCAUCGAGCUUGCGGCGAAACAACAGGGAAACAGAACAUGCACAGGAUGCGAGGGAUAUGGCCCUGGUGCUCAUUGAGCUGCCGAGUCUUGUUGCCGGGAAGGGGAACCCUUUCCUCUUCCACCCAGGCUCAAGGGAGCCGAGCACCGGCGAACAAGGGACGGCCAGCAAGCACCAAACAGAAAAUGGCAAGCCCGACAUCUCUGGAAACCACGUUGUCACACGGACCCCCGCUGCAAUUGCAAACCUCGGAUCUAGCACCGCACACCUACGCCCUUCUAACCAGACGACGCCCCCAGGGAGGUUACGACGCCGAGCGCCGCCGCCGCCGAAUCCGCAAGGGAUUACAGGAUUUAACCUUGGAAUGGAGGGGAAGGGGUGGGAAGAGGGGAUCUCGACAGUGCCUUCAAGAAGGGGAGCCGCGCCCGAGGGCCUGGCCACCGCCGUGGUCGGAGCCACCAACCAGGGAUUUCUCCCGGUCCCGACGGACACCACCGCAACCAGCUACCAACAGAACGGCAAAGACCAGCGCUAG
RNAcentral lists this ribosomal RNA (591 nucleotides) under Triticum aestivum (bread wheat). RNAcentral's name for it is "partial small subunit ribosomal RNA". The record is from RNAcentral. Lineage: Eukaryota; Viridiplantae; Streptophyta; Magnoliopsida; Poales; Poaceae.